RNAcentral lists this ribosomal RNA (253 nucleotides) under uncultured bacterium. Its description in RNAcentral is "partial 16S ribosomal RNA". It matches the Rfam family "Bacterial small subunit ribosomal RNA", at positions 524 to 776 of the family's 1533-position model. The record is from RNAcentral.
UACGUAGGGGGCGAGCGUUGUCCGGAAUCAUUGGGCGUAAAGCGCGUGUAGGCGGCCCGAUAAGUCCGCUGUGAAAGUCCAGGGCUCAACCCUGGGAUGCCGGUGGAUACUGUCAGGCUCGAGUCCGGAAGAGGAGUGUGGAAUUCCUGGUGUAGCGGUGAAAUGCGCAGAUAUCAGGAGGAACACCGACGGCGAAGGCAGCACUCUGGGACGUGACUGACGCUGAGACGCGAAAGCGUGGGGAGCAAACAGG